AAAGUCGACCGGGUGAUCGCUCGGUGACGUGAUUGCGUCACUGGGAGGAAAGUCCGGGCUCCAUAGGGCACAGUGGUCGGUAACGCCGACCGGCCGUGAGGCUAGGGAAAGUGCAACAGAAAGCAAACCGCCAUACUGUGACUACUUGUAGUCAUUGCGCGGUAAGGGUGAAACGGUGAGGUAAGAGCUCACCAGCAGGCGAGGUGACUCGCUUG
Molecule: RNase P RNA, 215 nt
Filed under: Planctomycetales bacterium
Lineage: Bacteria; Pseudomonadati; Planctomycetota; Planctomycetia; Planctomycetales
Description: partial RNase P RNA component class A
Rfam family: Bacterial RNase P class A
About the family: Ribonuclease P (RNase P) is a ubiquitous endoribonuclease, found in archaea, bacteria and eukarya as well as chloroplasts and mitochondria. Its best characterised activity is the generation of mature 5'-ends of tRNAs by cleaving the 5'-leader elements of precursor-tRNAs.
Source: RNAcentral